AACUUUCAGCAACGGAUCUCUUGGCUCUCGCAUCGAUGAAGAACGCAGCGCAAAUGCGAUAAGUAAUGUGAAUUGCAGAAUUCAGUGAAUCAUCUGUAAUCUUUGAACGCACCUUGCACUCCUUGGUAUUCCGAGGAGUAUGCCUGUUU
This 149-nucleotide ribosomal RNA is filed under the name Irpex lacteus. RNAcentral describes it as "5.8S ribosomal RNA". It matches the Rfam family "5.8S ribosomal RNA". From Rfam's summary of the family: 5.8S ribosomal RNA (5.8S rRNA) is a component of the large subunit of the eukaryotic ribosome. It is transcribed by RNA polymerase I as part of the 45S precursor that also contains 18S and 28S rRNA. The record is from RNAcentral. Lineage: Eukaryota; Fungi; Basidiomycota; Agaricomycetes; Polyporales; Irpicaceae.